UUCUCCGUCAAUUCAAUUCUGACACUCACGAAUUACUCACGUAAACUUCUCAAUUGUAGAAGAAGUUUACGUGAGUAAUUCCUGAGUGUCAGAAUUGACUAUGAGAA
RNAcentral lists this microRNA precursor (107 nucleotides) under Lotus japonicus. RNAcentral's name for it is "miR11151 stem-loop (lja-MIR11151)". Lineage: Eukaryota; Viridiplantae; Streptophyta; Magnoliopsida; Fabales; Fabaceae. The record is from miRBase by way of RNAcentral.